GAUGAAGAACGCAGCGAAAUGCGAUAAGUAGUGUGAAUUGCAGAAUUCAGUGAAUCAUCGAAUCUUUGAACGCACAUUGCGCCCCUUGGUAUCCCGAGGGGCAUGCCUGUUCGAGCGUCAUUUCACCACUCAAGCCUGGCUUGGUGUUGGGCCUCCGUCCUCCUCCCGGGGGACGGGCCCGAAAGGCAGCGGCGGCACCGCGUCCGGUCCUCGAGCGUAUGGGGCUUCGUCACCCGCUCUUGUAGGCCCGGCCGGCGCUUGCCGACACAUCAAUCUUUUUUCCAGGUUGACCUCGGAUCAGGUAGGGAUACCCGCUGAACUUAAGCAUAUCAAUAAGCGGAGGA
RNAcentral lists this unclassified non-coding RNA (344 nucleotides) under soil metagenome. Its description in RNAcentral is "partial contains 5.8S ribosomal RNA, internal transcribed spacer 2, and large subunit ribosomal RNA". The stretch from base 1 to 120 matches the Rfam family "5.8S ribosomal RNA", at positions 35 to 154 of the family's 154-position model. The record is from RNAcentral.